Molecule: unclassified non-coding RNA, 240 nt
Filed under: 'Medicago sativa' phytoplasma ww18865
Lineage: Bacteria; Bacillati; Mycoplasmatota; Mollicutes; Acholeplasmatales; Acholeplasmataceae
Description: partial 16S-23S ribosomal RNA intergenic spacer
Rfam family: tRNA (bases 82-155)
Source: RNAcentral
AAGGAAAAAAAUCAUCUUCAGUUUUGAAAGACUUAGAUUAUAUAAGUUUUUCUUUUAGGUAAGUAUUAUAUAUUUUUUAAAGAGCCUAUAGCUCAGUUGGUUAGAGCACACGCCUGAUAAGCGUGAGGUCGGUGGUUCAAGUCCAUUUAGGCUCACCAAUAUAAAUAUAUUAAUAUAAUUUUUACCUUUUAAAGUUCUUUGAAAAGUAGAUAAAUAUAGCUUUUAGAAUUAUAAUGGAAU